CACCCUCCUUUCACUUUGCCAAUUAGACAUUUUUUUUGUCUUGAUUGGUCAUUCAAGGUGGGUAAAGUGUAUCUCCUUUUAAAACCCAAGCAAAUGAUGGUCAUUUGACUUGGAUCCUGUCAGAGGAAACAGUU
This is a small nucleolar RNA of Anser cygnoides (Swan goose), 134 nucleotides long. Lineage: Eukaryota; Metazoa; Chordata; Aves; Anseriformes; Anatidae. The record is from Ensembl.